This 201-nucleotide long non-coding RNA is filed under the name Sorghum bicolor (sorghum). Its description in RNAcentral is "long non-coding RNA (SBIC_LNC006147)". The record is from RNAcentral. Lineage: Eukaryota; Viridiplantae; Streptophyta; Magnoliopsida; Poales; Poaceae.
CUCUUUUAGUGAUUGUGUUAGGAUGAACAAACAAAAUUUGUAAAUUGUCUUUCCAUAGAAAAAUAUUAUCCAUUGUAUUUUGUGUUUGUGCUCGUUCUUCCCUCUCUCUUUGUGAUUGUUUUAGGAUGAAGAAAAAAAUAUAAUUUGUCCUUCCUUAGUAAAAAAUUGUCCCUUGUCUUUUGUGAUUUUGUUGGUCCUCCU